RNAcentral lists this ribosomal RNA (759 nucleotides) under uncultured Planctomycetota bacterium. Its description in RNAcentral is "bacterial SSU rRNA". It matches the Rfam family "Bacterial small subunit ribosomal RNA", at positions 607 to 1351 of the family's 1533-position model. The record is from RNAcentral. Lineage: Bacteria; Pseudomonadati; Planctomycetota.
GCUCAACGGUGGAAUGGCAGGGUAUACUGCAGGCCUUGAGGCCGGUAGAGGUUGCCGGAACUGUAGGUGUAGCGGUGAAAUGCGUAGAUAUCUACAGGAACACCAAAGACGAAGGUAGGCAACUGGGCCGGUUCUGACGCUCAGGCACGAAAGCGUGGGGAGCAAACAGGAUUAGAUACCCUGGUAGUCCACGCCGUAAACGAUGUGCACUAGAUUCGAGAGGCUCUGACGCCAUUCGGGUCGAAGCAAAAGUGUUAAGUGCACCGCCUGGGGAGUACGGUCGCAAGGCUAAAACUCAAAGGAAUUGACGGGGGCUCACACAAGCGGUGGAGCAUGUGGCUUAAUUCGAAGCAACGCGAAGAACCUUAUCCUGGGUUUGACAUGCACGGAUACCCUCGCCGAAAGGCGAGUAAGUUGCCCAUUCGGGUGAAACGUGCACAGGUGCUGCAUGGCUGUCGUCAGCUCGUGCUGUGAAGUGUUGGGUUAAGUCCCUUAACGAGCGAAACCCCUGUCGCUAGUUGCUAACAGGUCUCCGGACGCUGAGGACUCUAGCGAGACUGCCGGUGUCAAACCGGAGGAAGGCGGGGAUGACGUCAAGUCCUCAUGGCCUUUAUGCCCAGGGCUGCACACGUGCUACAAUGGCGUGAACAGAGCGACGCAAUACCGUAAGGUGGAGCAAAUCGCAAAAAUCACGCCCCAGUUCGGAUCGAGGUCUGCAACUCGACCUCGUGAAGGUGAAUCGCUAGUAAUCGCGCAUCA